Molecule: ribosomal RNA, 720 nt
Filed under: Pantoea sp.
Lineage: Bacteria; Pseudomonadati; Pseudomonadota; Gammaproteobacteria; Enterobacterales; Erwiniaceae
Description: bacterial SSU rRNA
Rfam family: Bacterial small subunit ribosomal RNA
Source: RNAcentral
UGCAGUCGGACGGUAGCACAGAGGAGCUUGCUCCUUGGGUGACGAGUGGCGGACGGGUGAGUAAUGUCUGGGGAUCUGCCCGAUAGAGGGGGAUAACCACUGGAAACGGUGGCUAAUACCGCAUAACGUCGCAAGACCAAAGAGGGGGACCUUCGGGCCUCUCACUAUCGGAUGAACCCAGAUGGGAUUAGCUAGUAGGCGGGGUAAUGGCCCACCUAGGCGACGAUCCCUAGCUGGUCUGAGAGGAUGACCAGCCACACUGGAACUGAGACACGGUCCAGACUCCUACGGGAGGCAGCAGUGGGGAAUAUUGCACAAUGGGCGCAAGCCUGAUGCAGCCAUGCCGCGUGUAUGAAGAAGGCCUUCGGGUUGUAAAGUACUUUCAGCGGGGAGGAAGGCGGUGAGGUUAAUAACCUUGCCGAUUGACGUUACCCGCAGAAGAAGCACCGGCUAACUCCGUGCCAGCAGCCGCGGUAAUACGGAGGGUGCAAGCGUUAAUCGGAAUUACUGGGCGUAAAGCGCACGCAGGCGGUCUGUUAAGUCAGAUGUGAAAUCCCCGGGCUUAACCUGGGAACUGCAUUUGAAACUGGCAGGCUUGAGUCUCGUAGAGGGGGGUAGAAUUCCAGGUGUAGCGGUGAAAUGCGUAGAGAUCUGGAGGAAUACCGGUGGCGAAGGCGGCCCCCUGGACGAAGACUGACGCUCAGGUGCGAAAGCGUGGGG